Molecule: long non-coding RNA, 316 nt
Filed under: Sorghum bicolor (sorghum)
Lineage: Eukaryota; Viridiplantae; Streptophyta; Magnoliopsida; Poales; Poaceae
Description: long non-coding RNA (SBIC_LNC005457)
Source: RNAcentral
GGGGUCUGGUUUUAUAGUCCCUUCAAGUGAAUCUGGGCCGUCGGAUCAAACCGACAUUAAUCGCACGGUUUUCCUUGAUCCUUUAGGUCGGUGGAGCGUUGUCCGCGAAACGUAUCCUGAUUGGGCACUGUAGCUGGGCGGGCGCCCAGGAGAGUUGGGCGGGCGCCCUGCCUCCGAGCCCGAUUUCCUUCCCGUUCGUUCCCGUGGCUUCUGGAGUCUUCUAGAUGAUAGAAAAUUGCGCGACACGUUAAUAUCUCUAUGUAUACCCGACGUGUGGGCCUUUCUUCCAUAUUUCCUGAUAACCCCCUGCAGAAAU